AAAAAACUAAAACACAACGUCAUAAGAAAGAAUAACCAUCAAAAUAUAAUAAUAAUACGUUUCUUUGCUGCUGAGCGUUUACAACAUCUUAGGAGGUGGUCGAAUUGUACUUCGAGUCCGUACUGCACCAGGUAUUCUUGGGAUGCAGAUUUUAGGAGGUCCUUUUCCAUUUAAAACCUGAUUUUGUUGAUCAUGGAUCCGAUCAUCCACACAUGGAUCAUGUUGGGCAUGUAUUUGAUACUUCGCAACAUCUGCGAGAGAGAAGACAACUGCAAGAAACAAAACUAGUACAUGUAAAUAAGACAUCGUUCCACCUUCUUACCGGCUUUAUAGAGUUGGGAUUUUAUUUUGGGUGUGUGUUUGUUUAUAGACUCGUAUCCAAUAUAUAAUGAGGUCUAUCCACAUCUUGUUCAUUUCUAUUUCAUUUUAAUUUUAAUUUUAUUUUAAUAAAAUCUUAAAGAAGCAUGUAGUACGACACUUCCCACGUUUUUGACUAAUUUAAAGGUUGCAAGACUUCUAUUUAAUAGGAG
This 530-nucleotide long non-coding RNA is filed under the name Medicago truncatula (barrel medic). Its description in RNAcentral is "lncRNA gene9816". Lineage: Eukaryota; Viridiplantae; Streptophyta; Magnoliopsida; Fabales; Fabaceae. The record is from RNAcentral.